This 421-nucleotide long non-coding RNA is filed under the name Heterocephalus glaber (naked mole-rat). RNAcentral's name for it is "lncRNA (ENSHGLG00000047020.1)". Lineage: Eukaryota; Metazoa; Chordata; Mammalia; Rodentia; Bathyergidae. The record is from RNAcentral.
GUGGCAGCCACCCAACAGAGGGGCAGACAGGCCCAGGCUGAGAAAAGGGCCUGGGGCUGCUUGGGGAUGUCAGAAGGGAUUCGAGUGAAUCAGGCAUUCCAAGAAUCCUCGGCCUCAAAGUUCUGAGGCUGCGUGAUGUCAUGGGAAGAGCAUGCGGCUGCCCUGGGGAGCUGUCAGCCCCACGUGAACCUGGAGGAACAGUUCCAGGGGAAGGCCCUCGCCCUUCCGCUUGGUCCAGCCAAGCCCCGUAGGCUCCUAGGUCCAGCCUGUGGACCCUCACUGCAGCCUGCUGGUGAGUCUGGGGAUCCCACAAGCUAUACAAGAGUCUGAAGUGGGGACUCUGGAGCCAGAACCCUAGAGUUCAAAACCUGACACUGCACUUCUAGCUCUGCAACUUUCAAUAAAUUCCUUAACCUCUCUG